GUCUCGGCUAAAUCAAAGAACUGCAUAUAAACACCACCUAUACCCAAAACUUCCAAGUCGAUUGUAGAGACCUCGGAAAUGUGAAAUUCUUUUAGUCACUUGGGCAAGUUAUAGGCUUGACUAUUAUUUUGUUAUUUAAGUUAUUAAUUUGAAUUACAAUUUUUUUUUAUUUUACGUAAUUCAUUCCGAGUAUUUCUUAAAAUACUUAUCUGUACUUAAAUAAAAACUAAUCAGCAAACUUUGUUUGCAAAUUGUAUCGAUUUUAUAUUAGCCGAAGGAACUUCGUUCCUACCUGGUGUCCCACGACACCACAUUUCUUUUUUUAUAUAUAAGAUGAAUGGACCUUGGUGAUCUUCAUCGUAUGUAAGUUUUUCCGGGUUGAAUAUGUUUGGUGUGUUUGUUGUUGAUAGUGGUUUUAUUAUAAUGUUGCUUUCAAUAUUAAUUUUAUCAUUAACAUAUUUUGCUUUUUUGGUAGAUUCUUUCACAUUAUAAGCCCAGGAGCCCUCGGGCUCUUCAGCCUCUACGUCCAUUUUGUGUUUUUGUUUGAUUAUUAUUAUUCUUUUUUUUUAAUUUCAGGUUUGAACUAUAUUUUAUUUUAUUUUUUUAAUUAUAAACUGCAAUUUAUCACGAAUUUGAUCACUGAUCUUUAACGGAUUUCAAGUAUAGCUGUAAACAACUGUUCAGGAUGGUCGAAUUUUUUUGAAAAUUAUCUACUUGGGGUUCAACGUUGCGCACUCUUCGUUGGGUGCGGGCUUUCUUCCACCGAAGUUAUCCCUUUUUGAUUCUGCUGUCACGUCCUGUUUAGUAGUUUGAGCCCCAGCGCGAGGCACUUCUUAAGGGCCUUUACUCGAUUAACUUAUUCAGUCGCGACUAGCACGUUGGGCGCCAGUUAUUUAUUUAUUUGUUCACAUUUAAAACACAAUUAUUAUUUGGCAGCGAGCCGUGUGUUUAUUGUUGAAACCCAAACUUAGAAUUAAUUACAAAAAUCUUCUUCUCGUUGAGAAAGCUAGAAAGCUAAAAAAACAAAAUUGUUUUCGCGUUUAACAACGGUGCUGCAUGGAUGGCAGCGCGACCGCGUUACUUUAUUGAUUGACAUAAAAUGUGCCUAAAAUUAGUGAUUAACAUAAUUUUAUACCUAAAUUCCGUCUAGCCUGCAGUGUGGUGGCGUGAUGCACUUCCAGGAAUUGGCUUGUGAAGGUGCAUAAGCAUUUCGGGUGCGCGUGUCGGAAGUCAAGUCGUUGUUACUGAAACUGCUGCGGCGAUUUGCUUAAGUCAGUAAGUUAUGUAGUAGUUGCGCAAGUUAUGUUGUCGAAUUGUUGCUAGGUGUUGUAUUAACUUGCGUGAUGUGGUAUUGGUUUGUUGCUAAGUGAGACAUAUACAUAUGUAUGGCUGGGUGUUAACUUGCACCAAAGCUUUUAUACAUUAACGCGGACAUUUAACACCACACUUUUCCUUCAAUUUGCGUGCAAAUGAAGUCCAUCCCACGAUAUCCAUUAUGUUCAGUUUGCUGUCACAAAACGUUUGCACAUCAGUUGAAAUUAAGUAAAUUGUUUACAAGUCUCAUUAUGGUCCAUCUGCUCGCAGGAUUGCCGCCAAACGUGCGCCUAUACUCUCUUUGAACUGAAACUACGGACUCCAGUGCGUGAUAGCGGCGGACAGUCCAAAUUCUUGUUUCAGUGUCCCAGUUAUCCAUUUUUGUUAACCCUUUCAGGACCAUAAGGUUAUGGGACCUUAUGCAAGUAUUUUAGCUAUUUAUAUUGACUCAUUAGGUCUAUAAAAAAUAAAUUUUCAAAUCAAAACACACUAAACUAUUAUAGUUUUUUUGGAAUUUUUUGGGACACCGAUGUCCCUAUGGUCGAUAAGAGAUACGUUUCACUCAAACAAUCUCAAUUUUACUUUUAUUAAGUUUGCUUGUGAGAAUGGGGUAAUAGGUUAAUAAAUACGCUUAUAUUAUAGAAAUACUGUUUAUUAGUUAUGAUAAUCAGCAAAACAAUUUCUCUCAUUGGUAUAACAUAGGUGAACGUUACACAGAACACACAUAUUGUUUGUUCGAUUUUCUUUUUUAUAUUUCGCACAAUUUGCACACCUCUUUCUGGUGGAGGAUUUUUCCAUGGGGUGCAUCGAUAAUUGCCGCUUCACAUAUUUGCUCACUGCACUAUUUUUUGUAGUAGGGACUCCACGUUGUCUAGUACUGUAGCCGUUUACCAAACUCCUGGCGACUACCUGUCUGAACUGUAAGGUGGACAGCAGGCUUCCCUCUAAUUGCUUUUCACUGUGCAGCUUAGUAUAUAUGGUAUGUGCAUUAUUUACCGAUAUAUCGAACAAAUCGAAGAAAAGGCGAAGGUAGUACUUUAUCUUCGAUCUUCGAUCUAUUUCAUAGCACACCUUACGUUGAUCCAUAAGAUCUACUCCACCCAUAUUUUUAUUAUAAUGUGACACAAUCCUAGGACAUUUGACAUCAAUUUUGUCGGCUGAACCAGCUUUGCGGCGCUUUACGAUGUCCGUUUCUACAGGCAACAAAAAGUUGGUCAACAAAUGUACUCCUUUAUUAUCCAUCCAUUUGACAUAACUUAUGCCAUGAAAACUCGUUGAGUAAAUAUCGCCACGCUUCAUUGUUUUGUCAGCAGGUGCAGUUUUUGGAAGUUGUUUCCUGUUAGUUCGAAGUGUUCCACACGCCUUAGUAUUCUGAUCAAUCAGCUUAUAUUGUAGUAAAGGUGAAUUGAAGAAGUUGUCCAUAUAAAUUUCACAUCCUAAGCCUUCAACCUUUUUCGUUAGCUGUAGUACUAUUGAUUCACCUAAUCCAUACUCGAUUCCAGAAGUUCGUUUGCGUUUGUAGAUGAACCGUUUACAGAUCAAAUUCAAAUAGAUAACCGGUCGCAGCAUCACAUCGGCACCAUAAUUUGAAGCCCCAUUUGACAGGCUUAUUGCUUCAUUACAUUAUGACCCUUAAAUUUUAUCAUAUGCUCGUCGAUUGAUUGUUUUACUUUGUUAUUGAGGGCAUUUUGAAACGAUACAUUGAAAUGCUCUAUUAUUGGCCGAACUUUGUAUGCCCUAUCAUAAUUAGAGCUAGUUGUGUCUCUUACCGCUUCCUUGUUACAGAAAUGUAGGUUCCGGCGAAUGUCUUCGAAUCGAGCCCUUGGCAUAACAUUCGAUAUGAAUUGUACUGCCAUGUCUGGUUCUGUAGACCAGUAAUCCCUCAAUGAUGGCAAGAUAUGAUAGCCCAUGACUACAUUCAUCCCUAGAAAUGCUUUCAUUUCUUCGAGAUCAAUAGUAAACUCCCGUCCAUUUUGAUGAGCAUAUCGUAUUGACUCCGAUACUAUAUAUUGCACUAAAUUAUCAAAAUUUGUCGCUGAACAAAAUAUAUCAAAGAGAGUCAAUAGUCCAUUUUCAGCUUCUUGACAGAUUUGCACUUUCCCGAAGUCGUAUUCCACAUCACGAAAAACAUUUGGUGCGUAUGUUCUCGAAUUCCACUUGAAGACGGUUUGAUGCUGUGCUUCGUUUACAGGUGCUGAUGUGGAAGGCUCAGGUCUUGUUGAGUCAGUAUGUUCAGUUAUCGUACCGUCAAUUUCCACGUCCACAAUCCCUUGAUCAUCAUGCUGAGUCAAAAGCCUUUGAUCCUCUUCGUCAAGCAGUAAAUUGCCCUCUUCGUCACUGUUAUCAGCCAUCAAAAUCUGUUGCACUUCAUUUUCUUUAAGUUCGAAAAGGCCGCGUCCUUUGCGAAACAUAAUCUGUAACGACACGAAUAAGAAAAUGAAGGGUAACUGACGAAAAACAUCAGUACGACAACAUAAUUAUUCCUCAUAAAUAGUAUCUCUCUACGGCCAUAGGGACAUCGGUGUCCCUUUAUGUUUAUUAUGACUUAUCGUUAUACACAACAUAAAUAAUAGUUUUAUAAAUAUAUAAAAUAAAAAUUUACUUACCAGGCUAUGAUUAUUUCACACUGUAAAUUCUUAAAGAAUAGUUUUACACCUUUUAUGCACUGUUACAAAAUACUCGAUUCGCGCGCUUAACGAAGUCUCAGUUUUCAAUAGCCAUAGACAAAGAACGAUAUUUUUUUUGUGUUGCCAGCAUAUAAAAUGAAAAACGUACGUUCAAAAACUAUAAGAUAAAAUAACAAAAAGAUAAAAUAAGUUUUUUAAUUACUGUUUUAUUGUAUUAUUUCUAUUUGGGACACCGGUGUCCCCGUGGUCGACAAAGGGUUAAACACCCAUGUAAGACAUUUACAAAGGGAAGUGGUAACUUUGAUAGCCACAUUUGAGAAUACUUGUAUUUUAAUGGAGUGCCUAAUACUUUUGGCCAAGGCUGUACAUAUGUAUAUAUUUCCAGUUGCGUUAUGUACUAUAAAUAUAAGAAUAUACAUAUAUGUAUCUAUAGCUGGAAGGGUUAUUUUUUCUGUAUUCAGGAUCUUUUCCACUUCUUCUAUAUUUAUUGCACCUGAAUAAAAAUUUUUAUUUUUUGCAAAAUUUAUUGUUAUUGUUAAGUCUAAAAGUUGUGUGUAUUUCCUGCAAUACCAUUCUUUGUUUAAUUGCUUUAAGGUUAAUCGUUUCUAACAAUUUUUCCAAGUGUGAGUUUAUUAUUUGUUGUUUAUUAUUAUUUUGUUUAAUAUUAUUAUUUUUUUUAUUGCUAUGACAUCGUCAUGGUCUGGAACUCCAGUUAUGAAGCUGAAUAUACUGCCUAGGAAAUUUGUGUCUCCUUGUUAAUAACUGAUCCUUUAGUGCUUCUAUCCUUUGUAUGAGCAUCGUAUCUGCUAUUUGCUCAUUGUUGUGGUGUCCGUUUAUGGAUGUUGUUAUGGUUUCAUAAUAGUCUAAGAUUGUUGUUAGAUUUACUAUGUGCAAUAAAUAAUCUUCUUUGUUGUAUAUGUAAGAUGGGUCUGUUUGUGUUAGAAUCUAUUUUUUGUCUUCGACGUUCGUUAUUUUGUAUGUUUUUAGUUGUUUAUGUAGUAGUAAUAUUGUUAUCAGCAAUAUCCAUAUUUGUUCUGUUGACAUUGCGUAUGUUAUCCUUGUGUAAAUUAAUUACGUUUAUUUAUUACAAAUUCAUUACGUUUAUUUGUUACACAAAUUAAAUUUAUUUAUUUCAACAGUAAGACCAAUUAAUUGAAUAUGUGUCGUUAAAUGUUAAAUUAAAGGUAUGUACUAUGACGAUUUAACUCGUCACCUUCGCCGUUCAGUUCUAGAAUGAUUUUACUUUUGUCUUUUUGCCGCUGUCCAAUUCUUCUUCUUUGAUCAUGUCCCGUUACGCAGCUUUGAGUUGGCGUCUUUCUGCUGCUAAGUGGUAUGCAGUUUUACGCUCUGCGAGAGCUGUUGCAAAACGCAUUGAGUUACGCAACCCAGCAUACAAGUAGCGACGCCGCUAUUCUUGGCGUAACCCAGCAUACAAAAUUGGCCAGCCACAGUGGUACAUUAACUUGUAUGAUCCUCCCCUUGGUUGUUAAGACUGGGUCCUCACGGUUUUCUUUUACUAUAUGUUUUGUAUAACGAUGACUGGAUUUAUCUCUCCUGUCUGUUUUUGAAUGGAUUAUUUGUCCUUUUUGGAAUUCUCUGUUUUCUUUUCUUGUUGUGGUAUUCAAGCAUGUAAUUUUGUUUAUUUUUUUAUUUUUUCUGCUAUGUCAGGAUGUUGGUUCCUGUUAAAGAAUACAUCUACUGGUCUUGCUUCGGUUACUGAAUGUAGUGUCCUGUUGUAUUCUUUUACUGCCUGAAAUAUUUCUUCAUCUGCUGUACUUUCCUUGUCUGCUGCUAAUGUCCUAGCUAUUUCUAGUAUCGUCGAAUGUAACCGUUCGACUUGUGCGUUCGAUGUUGAAUGAUGCACUGCUGUGAGUGUAUGUUUAAUUUGUAGCUUUUUCAUUAGUGCUGUUGUGCCGACGCCGCUGAAUAUAUUUUCGUUAUCUGUCAUCAGUUCGGUACAGUUGGGGAAUAUUUGUGUGAUGACUUCUUCUAUUAUUUCGUGAAAUUGUCGCUUCGUGUCGAGUUUACGUAAGUAUGUGUAUUUAGAGUAGCGACAAAUGCUAGAUAAGUAUCUCGUGCCGCGUAUUUGGAAUAUUCCAUUUGUAUUGAUGUGCCAACUAAAUUGGGUGUUGGCGUUGUUCGGAUUAUGUGUUUAAUUGGUUUUCUUUCAUAUUUGUUCUUUGUACAGUUUGUACAGUGUCUGAUUCGUCUCUAUACCUUUUGAAUCGGUUGCCAAAUGUUUGGACUGCUUAUCUGAAGGGAUUGAAGGUUGGUUGCUGUCUUGGUUGGACUGGUGGGUUGUUUGGUGGUUGUAUGUUUCUUUGAUGCGUAGGUCGUCGGAAUCGUGUUGAGGAGUCUAUUUCCAUAGGUUCUACUCUGGGUUGUUGGAUCCUUUGAGGAAAUGUGUUCCUGUUGUUUAGUGUAUAAUUGUUUUGCGGAUGUGGUCGCAUCCUGGGUAUGUAUUCUAGGUGUUGAUAGCCGACAUCAUGUUGCAUAGUUCUAGCUAUAUCAUGAGCUUCUGUGAGUGAUGCACAAUAUCUGGAGUAAAUGCGUUUUUAAUUGAGGAACUUCUAAUGCCGGACAUGUAUGUUCUCGUGGCUUUUAAUUGUGCUUCUUUAUUAUGUCAUGCUAGGACUGCUUCGUUUUUAUACGUCAUUUCUAACGUGGACAAGAUCAGGUUUAACGCUUGAUUCACUUGAUCGUAGUAUUCAUGUAGUGAUGAAUUUCCUUGUUGUAACCUUUUCAUUUCAUCUUUCAGGACAUACAGUGGUCGUUGGUCGGCAUAGGUUAAGUCAAGCCGAUCGAUGAUUGCAUUAAAGUUAGUUCUGGUGUUAUUGUUAACCAGGACCUGUGAUGCACUGCCGGUUAUUUUCUCUAAAAUUAUGAGCACUGCUUGAGCAAAUAAGUUUGUUCCUCUGAAUUGCAUAUCUAAUGUUAUUCAUGUGAGUGGUCACUAUUUUUCUCCAUGGUCGAUAUUCUUUAGGAUCGCCGCUGAAUGUUCCUAUUAGUUUGAACAUGUUUAGAUCUAUCUCCUGUGCAUUAUUAUAUACACAUACGUCGUCCUCUUCACCGCUUGCGGAGUUAAUGUUGGGUUAGCUAGUUCCAUUGAAGCUAUUUUUCGCUGUAGUUCGGUAACUAUAGUCUGGAGAGCUUGAAUUUCGCCGUCCAUUUUUUAGGUUUUAACUUGUUAUUAAAUUUACACUUUUUAUUUAUUUUACUUGCGUUGAUUUGAAGGAUAAAGGUUAUCCUUUUACUUUUGAUCAGGAGCCACACGCGUAAGUCUUUUAUUCACUGAAUCCUUUUUUGAUGUGUGCCCCACGUUGGGCGCCAAUUAAUAACACUUGGGUUAUUUUAGUCAAAAAAAUAUUUUAGUUCUGCAUUAACAGCAGAAUGUUCUUUAUGCAGUAAUAUUCAAAAUACAAAAGACGAAGCGUGUAUGGUUAUGCUUCUAUUUAUACUAAUGGGUAAUGUACAAUAGAUAUAAUUUGUCGUUCUUGAUAAUGUAGUUUAGUGUUAUCACGUACUUUGGACAUUGACCCUUUGGGUGUGGUCGGUUGUUGCCAUGUGAUAGUGAUGUGUUGUAAGUUACAUGUGCCUUAACUCGCUCGCGAUUGCAACUGAUGUUUCCAAUGCAUUAAGGACUAUGGAAACAUAUUUUAAUAAUGUGAAACAUACACAAGCAUUUAUGUAGGAUAGCCCUUAAAAAUAAAUGCACUUGGUUCAAGUUCAACUUUAUAAUUACACUUUUAUUUAAACGCUUUUAGUUAAACACUUUUAUUUAAAAUACUUAUGUAUAUAAAUGUUAAAUGUUCCUUUAAACUGAAUAUGUGAAGUUUGACCGUCCUAUACGUGUGGCGACUGUUUAACGACUGUGUUCUUGUCCUGUUUGUUAAGUUGGUUGUGCCCUAUCAGUGCUGCCUAUUGUCAUAGGUCAGUGUUGCCCUUUGUAAGUGAAGUGAGUAUGCGUACGUCUUAAUAGGUGUGUCCACUACGUGUUGUCUUGUCAUCGCUUCCCACAUUUAUGAACUUACCUCCCUCCACUUGGCUGCCGGCCGAGUUGGACCUUUUAAGGCAUUUAAAUUAUCUGCUAACUUCGACCAAAGUAUUUGCAGCCCUUGAGGGUUGGCUGGAGUUAGCUUCCGACGUUGCAACUCAGGAUGCUCGUAUAAUGGUGCAGCUGCUCCUGAGUUGUCCUUUCCGUUUUUAUAUGCCUAGAAAUAUAUGAAAUUAUUAUAUAAAUUAAAGGACAAUGUGCUUUCCUUUGUUAAUUUAUUUAAACGUAUGCAAUUUUUCACACUUUAUGGCGAUGUUACUCGCUUGGUUGCUAAUUACUUAAUAAUCUAUUGUCCAUCGAUGUCGCUUUACUAAACCUCUGUCAGCGUUAGUUAGUGCGUUGAGCAGAGCAGCAGCUUCCCUUGCGGUCCUCUACUAAUUGUUGCUAAGCGUAUGCUAAGGUAGGCGAGGUUUGUGGUUGCUUUCGCGUGCCUGGUGCUUUGGCGCUACUGUUGUUGCUCUGCAUGCAGCCGUCCAAGCCAAGCGCUAUCAAAACGCGUGUCCCAUCUAAUACGUAUGUUGUUACCAAGCUAAAGUAAGCGAGAUUUGUUGCUACUUUGGCGUACGGUAGUUUUUGGCGGUGCAAUAACUUGUUGUUAACCCUAGAAGGGUACUGUGGGUAAAAUUUACUCACAUACGGAAUAGAUUUGUUCAUAAAUCAGCAGGUUGGCCACACUGAAAGUCAAGCCACUAGCAGUGCUUGUCCCACUCUGUCAUUAAUCGGCUGCCGCAAGCAUUGAAUGGUGUUGUUUGAUUUAUCGCGCUUGUGGACAAUUUAAAAAAAGUUAGUGAGUAAAAUUUACUUAUCGGUACCCUUUACGUACUAAAUUGUGUGAGUCAAAUUUACUCAUCGGUACUCUUUACGUACUAAAUUGUGUGAGUAAAAUUUACUCAUCGGUACCUAUAAGCGCCUACAAUUUAACCGUACCCUUCUAGGGUUAAGUGAGUGUUAUGCGUUGUUGCCCUGCAUUCAGACACCCAAGCCAAGCGCUAUCACUAAGCGUGGUUUGCCGAGGUACAUACAUAUAUUUAGUAUGUUGUUGUCACCAAGCGCCUGUUGUUAUUGCUAGGCGCGCUCUUAACAUAUUAUAAUAAUAUGAGCAUUAUUAAAGCAUUUGAGUGUGAGUUUGAAAGCAACUCAAUAGGAGGUGGAACGCAAACACUCAUGUUAGGACCAGCAACAUCGAUGUUGGCAACGCCAGUUACCUUAACUUAUAUAUAUAUACUUAAAAUUUGCAAAAUUACUUACAUAUGCUGAUUAUCCAUUUGUGUGUCCAUUUUUGUUUGCUUAUUUUUAUUAAAACAGCUGUUUGACAGCAAAAAGCUUUUUACCUCAUGUGGUGACUUUUUUAAGCUUUUUUCUUAUGAGGUUUGAGCAAGAAUAGCUUCACAAAAUAUGCCUCACAAGAAAUCUCUCAAAUUUUUCCUCCCAACUCAGUUGAGAGGUUUUUUCAGAAUAGAACUGUAAAGUUAUUUUUGUAGUAUUGUUUAGACCGUGCACUUGACACCAGCACAAGAUAUAAACAAUUUCUUAUCAAGGGUAUUUCAAAAUAAUAAUACAUCUGGUGUAUCGUAUAUGAGACGGUAGGUCUAAAUGGGUUAAGAUUGUAAAGUCUAUUUCUUAAAUCAUAGAAUUUACUUGUUAACUCUUCAUUUUCGUGCUGUCUAGAGAGCAUAUUUCGUUUAUUUCGCAGUCUUCAAUAUUUUUUUCUAAUUCUGUUAAUAAGAAUUGAAGUCUGCGAACUAAACCAAGAUUUGGAAAGUAUUUAAUUUUCCUGGGAGUACUAUUUUCUUGAAUUAUAGCUAUCAAUUCGCUUAACUUGGCACAUGCUGUCAAAUAAAGCGUACCUACCGUCCCUUCAACAUCAUUUUUAAAAUAAUUAUAUAUUUUUAUUUUUGGGAUCUUUGAACAAUUCUAAAUAGUUUCGUUGAAAUUCUGACCAUUUUUUGUCCAAACUAUCUUGGAGUUUUUCUAGAUUUCCUAUUUCUUCAUUUAUAUAUUAUAGUAUGGAUAUGAAGUUUUUGCGGUUUUGCAGUCAAAUCUGCUAUACCAUAAUGAGAAAAUACGACAUGGCAUCUUGAGAAUAGUGCUCGUCCGAUCAACAUUCUUUGUAUUUCCAUUAAUCACAUCUCGAAGGUGAAUAUACUCUUCAGAUCGGAGUUUGGUUUGAUUCAACCUCAUGAAUGUUAAUCUCUACGUUUCAAUUUUAACAAACAUGUAGGCAAUGUUUUUUUAUACAAUACACUUUGUUUUUAUUUUAUUUUAAUUCACGUACAAAGUCUUAGUUUAAAUGAUUUUUGUUUUACAUUUAUGUUUUUAAAAUAUAAAUUGCGACUUGCUCGCGGCGCUGGUCAACUUCAACUGUCGUUGUCAGCUGUUCUUGUCCGUGUUAGGGUUCGUUUCAUUAGUUUCGUCAAGUUCGGUCAAUUUGUCAGGGAUGUAAUUACCCCGUUAAGCGCACAAUUUUCUCCUCAAGUGGACUUAUACGUUGUAAACGACAUUGCCUUCCCCUGUGCUCAUCAUUUCUUAUUGCUAGUUAGCUUGCGUUUGAUAUAGCACUUCCAGUCAAUCCAAACCUGUAACAAAACGUUAGAUUUUACAAAUUCGUUUUCAAUUCAAUUUAUACCUUAUCUUUCUCCAUGCAUUUGAGUCUUUUGAUGGUGGACCAAGUGCAUUUAAAUUCUUAAAAAUUAUAUCCCUCUCCUAUUAAAAUAUCUAUCAUCAAAUAAUUAUAUUGGGUUCCAAAAUAAUAAAAGUCUCACCAAAUAAUACCAUCUCUCGAUGACUAAGAGAUGAUUAUGAUUAGUGACACAUCUUAACUUAGAUGACAGAACAUAUUGUUCGCUAAAAUAAUUAUGAUUAACUGCUAUAAUACAUACCUUGAAAGUUGUUUGUUGACCCAAAUGAAGUCAUUUGAAAGCAAUUGUUAUAUUGUUGGAAAUUUGUCAAAAAGUGUAUGGAAUCUGUUCCUAUUUCUGAAACGAAUGAGUGCAAUGUCUCUGGUGGUGGUUCCAAUGGUAUCAAUUUCACUUUACCAUUUGCGCAAUAGAAUCGAUUAGCUUCGUUUUUAUAUGUAUUUCAAUGCCUUACAAUGUGAGCAAACCGAGUGAACGUAUCUAAAUAGCUUAAUAUUUACCGAGAGUGAUAUCAACUAUUUUAAUCUUAGUUAAAGCCUUUUUUCCCGCUUUUCCAUCGCAGUUGCAUAGCUACACCAACUCGUCACUAAAUAAUGACUGCAUUACUUUCUCUACCGACCCCUUUUAUAUAAAAUAUAAUAAUUUUAUAUCAAUAAAUACCUUCUCAGCAAGAGCGCUUACUACAGCUGAUAGCCGAUUUAUAAUGUCUUCUUGCCGAGAUUCUAUUCUACCAAGGGUGUCAAGGAUGUUCUGCAGUACCAACGCAGUAUCGCCACUUUUAUUAGGUUGGAGUUGGGUGGGCCAUACGUUGCGAAUGGGGUUCGGCGAUACGAAAUCGACUCAUUUCUCCUCCUAUGAAGAAAGUUACAAUGCAAAACAUAUAAGUAAAAUAAAGUAAUUUUACCAUCUCGCUACCGUGCACUAAUGCUAUGUAAAAUUAUAAAAUAAAUUAUGAGGAAUUCAAAUAAAUUUAUUCCUUAUUGAAAUAGAAAAAUACUUAUAUUUUAAAUCUACUUUUUUAAUAAUUUGAAUGUCCUCAUCUAUAAUUUUACCUACUAGAAUACCUAAACCAGAUGAGGACACCAAAGGCUCUCUGAAAACAUCACCAACUUUUGUCAAAAUAACACAACGAAAAGUAUCAGGUUGGUUUUGUUGGUUGACAAUUUUCAAAGACCCUAUUUUAUUGCUAAAAAAGAAACUAUCUUUAUCUUUUUGCAAUUAAUAAUAAACCUAUCUAUUUGAGGAAUUUUUAUUUUGAAAUUUCGUAAGACUUGUUUGCCUUGACGUAUAUUGCGUUGAGUUCAACUCUUUUUAUUUCCAGAGUAUAAAUAGACUCAUCUUCGGGUUGGUUGUAGUAGUGCUCCUCAAUAUAUUCAAAUAAAUCGGAAAUACAGAACUUGAAUUCUUCCAUUAUCGAUAAAAAAUCCACUUACCUUUUUUUUCUAAACGUCUGUCGGUAAAGUUAAGUCCCAUACUAUCAAAAUUCCCGAAAUGCCUUGAGAGGCUCAUGGCCGGUAAGCAGGAAACCAGAAGGAGUCAGUCGCUAUAUGCACAACACUUACAGAGGGACUCGAGCUGCCCAAGCAGAGAGUCCAUCAUGAGGUUCCAAAUAUAUGAACCCAUUCUCAGCUUAGUUA
Bactrocera dorsalis (oriental fruit fly) is the source of this 12268-nucleotide long non-coding RNA. RefSeq lists it as uncharacterized. The record is from RefSeq and is a predicted model, not a curated record. The transcript is spliced from 2 exons. Lineage: Eukaryota; Metazoa; Arthropoda; Insecta; Diptera; Tephritidae.